RNAcentral lists this ribosomal RNA (381 nucleotides) under uncultured bacterium. Its description in RNAcentral is "bacterial SSU rRNA". It matches the Rfam family "Bacterial small subunit ribosomal RNA", at positions 796 to 1175 of the family's 1533-position model. The record is from RNAcentral.
CACGCCCUAAACGAUGCGAACUGGACGUUGGGAGCAACUUGGCUCUCAGUGUCGAAGCUAACGCGUUAAGUUCGCCGCCUGGGGAGUACGGUCGCAAGACUGAAACCCAAAGGAAUUGACGGGGGCCCGCACAAGCGGUGGAGUAUGUGGUUUAAUUCGAUGCAACGCGCAGAACCUUACCUGGUCUUGACAUGUCGCGAACUGCCCAGAGAUGGGCGGGUGCCUUCGGGAAUGCGAACACAGGUGCUGCAUGGCUGUCGUCAGCUCGUGUCGUGAGAUGUUGGGUUAAGUCCCGCAACGAGCGCAACCCUUGUCCUUAGUUGCCAGCACGUAAUGGUGGGAACUCUAAGGAGACUGCCGGUGACGAACCGGAGGAAGGUG